CCCGCACAAGCGGCGGAGCAUGCGGAUUAAUCGAUGCAACGCGAAGAACCUUACCAAGGCUUGACAUACACCGGUAACGCCCAGAGAUGGGUGCCCCUUUGUGGUCGGUGUACAGGUGGUGCAUGGGUUGUCGUCAGCUCGUGUCGUGAGAUGUUGGGUUAAGUCCCGCAACGAGCGCAACCCUCGUCCUAUGUUGCCAGCGGGUCAUGCCGGGGACUCAUGGGAGACUGCCGGGGUCAACUCGGAGGAAGGUGGGGAUGACGUCAAAUCAUCAUGCCCCUUAUGUCUUGGGCUUCACGCAUGCUACAAUGGCCGGUACAAAGGGCUGCGAUACCGCGAGGUGGAGCGAAUCCCAGAAAGCCGGUCUCAGUUCGGAUUGGGGUCUGCAACUCGACCCCAUGAAGUCGGAGUCGCUAGUGAUCGCGCAUCAGCCAUGGCGCGGUGAAUACGUUCCCGGGCCUU
Molecule: ribosomal RNA, 462 nt
Filed under: uncultured Cellulomonas sp.
Lineage: Bacteria; Bacillati; Actinomycetota; Actinomycetes; Micrococcales; Cellulomonadaceae
Description: bacterial SSU rRNA
Rfam family: Bacterial small subunit ribosomal RNA
Source: RNAcentral